RNAcentral lists this ribosomal RNA (495 nucleotides) under Cominella glandiformis. RNAcentral's name for it is "partial 16S ribosomal RNA". It matches the Rfam family "Bacterial large subunit ribosomal RNA", at positions 1811 to 2571 of the family's 2925-position model. Lineage: Eukaryota; Metazoa; Mollusca; Gastropoda; Neogastropoda; Buccinidae. The record is from RNAcentral.
AAACAUGGCUCCUUGUUUANNGGUGCAUAAGGAGUCGGACCUGCCCGGUGAAGAUUUUUAACGGCCGCGGUACUCUGACCGUGCAAAGGUAGCAUAAUCAUUUGCCUUAUAAUUGAAGGCUAGUAUGAAUGGUUUGACAAGAGCGUAGCUGUCUCUUUAUGAUUCGCUAGAAUUUUAUUUUCAGGUGAAGAAGCCUGUAUAAUAUUAAAAGACAAGAAGACCCUAUCGAGCUUUAAAGAAAUUAAUAGAUUUAAACAAUCAAUUNUAUUUAAAAGAUUAACUAUUAAAGAUUUUAGUUGGGGCGACAGAGGAACAAAAAAAGCUUCCUUUAAANUUAUAAAAAUCAAACAAAUAUUGAUCCAAAAUAUUUUGAUUAAAGAAAUUAGUUACCGUAGGGAUAACAGCAUAAUCUUUUUCAAGAGUUCUUAUCGAAAAGAAGGUUUGUGACCUCGAUGUUGGACCAGAAUAUCCUAAAGAUGCAGUAGUCUUUAAGGG